Molecule: long non-coding RNA, 1603 nt
Filed under: Homo sapiens (human)
Lineage: Eukaryota; Metazoa; Chordata; Mammalia; Primates; Hominidae
Description: HSALNT0324251
Source: RNAcentral
CAAAAAAGAAACAAGAAAUGGAUAUCUAGAGCUCUCAGAGGAUGCCUCAGGCAAUCAGACUCUCUCGAGCUCUCUAGCUGGCUCCUGGUUCCAUAAGACCAGACUAUUUGAUCUACCUUGUUUCAUCAUACGUUCUCAAUCAUUGGCUUUAAGAAGCCAUCUCAAAUGCACACUGAGGCUUCAAAGGAACUGUCAGCAGCCUGCGAGUUUUCCUUCCACAAGGGACAGAGGAGACAUUGAAACAUUCAGUCAACAGUGUUUGCCACUCAGGUGUGGCCUGACGACCCCGGUCUCUGGGUCAGUGCCCCUCAAGGACGACUGGUCUCGACUGGACUCUUGGCGAAUGACAGCUCCUCCUGCUGCCAACAUCCAAGCUCAUCUGUGCCUCCAGCCAUGAAGAUCACUGCCCAUGGCAGUCUCCUCUUGCCAGCUCAGUCCUCAGCCAGCUCAUGGUCCUCUCAGCAGCUCUGUGUCUGCUCUGGGGGUGGGCCUGGGCCUUUUUCCCCCACCGUAUGCUCUGCACCUGUCAUGGCCACCAGCAUAGAAGUGAAUGAAUCCUUCAAAAUUCAGCUGAAAUAUUGAACUCUUCGCCAAUGUGUCCACCGUUUCCUCCUACUGCUUCCUCUGUGCUCUGGUAAGAAGAUCAUCUUGCUGCUACACGGAGCAUUUUUUGGCUUCUAUUCCAGCCCCUGCAUGCAUCUCAUCUCUCCUACGUUAUCAAUCCCACCUCUCCCCCACUGCCCAGGUGGGGGCUUCCCAAGGCCACCCUCAGAUCCUUGCCAUGUACAUGUUACGCUCAAUAAAUAUUAAAAUUAGUUGAAGUUGUGUUCUGUCUAAUUAACUAGAUUUCUAUUUUAAAGUAACACCAUGGGCAUUUCAUAAAAUAAUCAUAUGACAGAGAUGAGUAUAAGAUGAACAGUACAUCUCCACUCAGCCUCAAACAGUGCAGGGUAGUCUCUUGUUUGUAGGAACUUUUAUGUUUUUCCUAGUAUUUUACUCUUCCAGUUCGUUUUUGAAUGAGAAUAUAAAGUAUCUCUGAGUUGGGAAAAGAGAAAAUUUAUACGAGAAUUUUCUAGGGGAAGAAGAGCAGGAAGGAAUUACAGACAGAGUCACAUUUGCAAAAUCACCUGUUGGAGUAUAAGAAGGAAAGAGGAGCCCGGCCAACCCCAUGUAUAAAUUUCAUUUUGAAGGCAAUGACAACCCUGCUUCAUCAGUUUCCUACAGACAAAUGCAUAUCUCAGCUUUCCAGCAGAAUCAAAAUCUCACAAAUGUCCCCUCUGAGGACUGUCUGAGCCCUGCCUUGCCAUUUGUCUGCAAAUGGUUUCUGACAUAGAACCCAAACCAAAUGACCAAUCCAACACUUCUGGGAUGAAAAAGAAAAUUCAGAAUGGUGACAAUGAAUUGGGAAGUUCAGAUUCUGUGCUGUGUGUUGUGUUGAAAAAAUUGACACUAAAUCUUUUAAUGUCCUUUUCACAUCAAAGUUCCAUGUGUUUCCUCCAGUCAUUCCGGGAUUCUACACACAAAGACAUUUUUCAGAGAAGGGUUAGGAGAAAAGAAGAGGCAGGAAAGGCAUUCUCUCCUACUAAGUUAGUGAAAAACCCUC